Molecule: long non-coding RNA, 1399 nt
Organism: Hylaeus volcanicus
Lineage: Eukaryota; Metazoa; Arthropoda; Insecta; Hymenoptera; Colletidae
Exons: 4
Source: RefSeq, a predicted model, not a curated record
CGUGCAGCUACGAAGUCCUCGAGAUCACAGUGAUUCGACAGAGCAGGAAGAAGGAUGUUUUAUAUUCGAGUUUUAUAUUCGUUUAAGGCUAGAUGAGAUCUCUUUCACUCGCACUUUCCCUUCCUUCGUUCGUCACUUGGAACCGGUGACAUUCUACUGUAAGUGAAUUCUUCGUGUAACAGCUGCUGGUGCAAUGGGGCAAGUUAAAUGAUCGGUAGGUGCAUCGAGAUGAAUAUUCAAUGCCUUGAUGACCGCGAACGGACUUAAGGUUACCAUUAAGUAACAAGUAUGCAAAUGGGAGCAACCCAAGAUGGACAAUUGGAGUGUACGUUAGAGUUUCAGGACGGGAUAGGACCUAGUCAGCCUGUAGAAGUAGCUGUGCCUCUGCGAGAACAUUUUCGCGAGAGUGAUUCAUCGGAGCUCGCGGGGACGAGGAAGCCGAGAAGGAAAAUGUCAACGAUAAAAAAUGCACAAGCCCGAGACACGUCUCCCCGAUAAACCAGAGACGAGGUUCCUGUCGACCGACGCUACAACAUCGCGAAUUCGGCCGGGGUUGAAUAAUCGACUGUCGAGGAAUCGAGUUUCCCGCGAGUCGUAUUCCAGACAUCCUAUUCCGUGGUAAAAUGAGCCAGCCGUCGAAAUAAUUCUAUUGAUUUUGGUAAUCGAAAUUCGAAUCUGCGAACCCGGGAUCGAUGAUAACGAGGAAUCAAUUGAAAUUACUAUUCCGCGAGGAUUGGCGUUUAACGAAAGGGAAGAAAAAUAUUCGACGCGGAAAAUCGCGCGGAGUUAAUCCGAGGUAGACGUGUUUCUAAAGGAGUCGAUGAACCGAGGUAGAUCAACGAAACUGAAUUCUGGCGCUUAGCAACAGUCAAACGUAAUUCUACCGUCUAACAACUGCUCUCAUUCACGCUCGACUUAGAAAUGCUGUUCACCAAUAAUGAAAUCUACGUAGAAUGCAAUUUACUUCUCCAGUCGACAGAUUUAUCAACAAAGUGGAAGUUUCAAUAUCAUCUCGAUAAUAAUCACAGUACCAAGCUCGAAAAGAUCAUUUCACGUAAUUAUAUCAAAUCGUUCGUAUAAUAUUUAAAAAAAAUUAUAGACGUUUAAACAAACAGUAAUGUAUAAGAUCCACGCCUAAUUGUUAAAAUAAAAUCGAAAGAUCGCAAAAAUGAAAAAAUUCCUUCGAGCCGGAUUCGAACCAGCGACCUAUGGAUGUCCGCGUUUAAAUUCCCAACUACAGUCCACCGCUCUACCAACUGAGCUAUCGAAGGAUUGAAGACUCCGGGCUUACUGAAAGUAUUUAUACCUAUUGAUACAUAAAUAUUGAUCUUACAAACAACAUACAUGACGCGUAUGGAAUAAACAAUCAAUCGAAUAUGAGAAGAAAAUAAGAAUUAUC